GAUGAACGCUGGCGGCGUGCCUAAUACAUGCAAGUCGAACGAAACUUCUUUAUCACCGAGUGCUUGCACUCACCGAUAAAGAGUUGAGUGGCGAACGGGUGAGUAACACGUGGGCAACCUGCCCAAAAGAGGGGGAUAACACUUGGAAACAGGUGCUAAUACCGCAUAACCAUAGUUACCGCAUGGUAACUAUGUAAAAGGUGGCUAUACUACCGCUUUUGGAUGGGCCCGCGGCGCAUUAGCUAGUUGGUAGGGUAAAGGCUUACCAAGGCAAUGAUGCGUAGCCGAAUUGAGAGGUUGAUCGGCCACAUUGGGACUGAGACACGGCCCAAACUCCUACGGGAGGCAGCAGUAGGGAAUCUUCCACAAUGGGCGAAAGCCUGAUGGAGCAACGCCGCGUGGGUGAAGAAGGUCUUCGGAUCGUAAAACCCUGUCGUUAGAGAAGAAAGUGCGUGAGAGUAACUGUUCACGUUUCGACGGUAUCUAACCAGAAAGCCACGGCUAACUACGUG
Molecule: ribosomal RNA, 512 nt
Filed under: uncultured bacterium
Lineage: Bacteria
Description: partial 16S ribosomal RNA
Rfam family: Bacterial small subunit ribosomal RNA
Source: RNAcentral